UGUGCAGGCGGCUCUUUUUUGUCGGCGGUGAAAUCUCCCGGCUCAACUGGGAGGGGGCAACCGAAACGGAAGGGCUUGAGGGUUGGAGAGGAAAGUAGAACUCCCGGUGGAGCAGUGAAAUGUGUAGAGAUCGGGAAGAAUACCAGUGGCGAAGGCGGCUUUCUGGCCAACACCUGACGCUCAUCCACGAAAGCUUGGGGAGCAAACAGGAUUAGAUACCCUGGUAGUCCAAGCUGUAAACGAUGUCCACUAGGUGUCUGGGGUAUCGACCCCUCAGGUGCCGGAGCUAACGCAAUAAGUGGACCGCCUGGGGAGUACGACCGCAAGGUUAAA
RNAcentral lists this ribosomal RNA (333 nucleotides) under uncultured bacterium. RNAcentral describes it as "bacterial SSU rRNA". It matches the Rfam family "Bacterial small subunit ribosomal RNA", at positions 568 to 898 of the family's 1533-position model. The record is from RNAcentral.